AUGGAUAAAAAAAGUGUUAUAAAAAUAAGAAGAGUUAUCUCUUUUUGGAAAAGAGACAGUAUUCCUGUACAGUAUGUGUUUAAAGACCAUUUCAUUGGACACGCCCGCGCAUGACAAUUUUGAAGUAACACAAGUGGCCCGGGACUUGAUAGAGCGAGCAAGCAAUAAACAAACAUGCCGUUAAAGAUAGCUAAAUAUUCUGCAAUCUCUGGUUGUGGAAGAAUACAGUCGCUGCAUAACCUUCCUUCGGAUUUCCGAUAUUAGGAAUCGGGGGUUUAAGUUUUUUUUAAAGACGUUCCAGCUCAUGUGGGAAAAACAUGGAGCGUUUGUUCGUUUCAUUUUUUGAGGAUUCCUUCGUAAACAAGACACAAGAUAUGUGGAAAGAAGUGCCUUCAAUAUUGGAUCCGAUAGGAAUGGCGCAACAAUCUUAUGUUUGCUAGGAUGUAAUGGUAACUCUUCACAUUCUUCCCCUGCUCAACGAUCUGGAACAGACAGAAGAAAAGCUACUGUAACACACCACUGAGGUAAAAAGUCACAGAAUGGAGAAGAAUAAAACUGAAAGAUGGCUAUUCAGGAGGACAUGUCGGAGACGAUGUUGAGAGAAGAAUUGGAAGAAAUGGAAGCAACCAUCGAGAGUACAGUCAAUCUCGAAUUCCC
Long non-coding RNA from Triplophysa dalaica, 657 nucleotides. RefSeq lists it as uncharacterized. The transcript is spliced from 3 exons. NCBI's taxonomy places the organism in Eukaryota, Metazoa, Chordata, Actinopteri, Cypriniformes, Nemacheilidae. The record is from RefSeq and is a predicted model, not a curated record.